Molecule: ribosomal RNA, 253 nt
Filed under: uncultured bacterium
Lineage: Bacteria
Description: partial 16S ribosomal RNA
Rfam family: Bacterial small subunit ribosomal RNA
Source: RNAcentral
UACGUAGGGUGCAAGCGUUGUCCGGAAUCACUGGGCGUAAAGCGCACGUAGGCGGAUCUUUAAGUCGGUGGUGAAAUCCUGGAGCUCAACUCCAGAACUGCCUUCGAUACUGAGAGUCUCGAGUCCGAGAGAGGUGAGUGGAACUGCGAGUGUAGAGGUGAAAUUCGUAGAUAUUCGCAAGAACACCAGUGGCGAAGGCGGCUCACUGGCUCGGUACUGACGCUGAGGUGCGAAAGCGUGGGGAGCAAACAGG